RNAcentral lists this ribosomal RNA (253 nucleotides) under uncultured Oscillospira sp. RNAcentral's name for it is "partial 16S ribosomal RNA". It matches the Rfam family "Bacterial small subunit ribosomal RNA", at positions 524 to 776 of the family's 1533-position model. The record is from RNAcentral. Lineage: Bacteria; Bacillati; Bacillota; Clostridia; Eubacteriales; Oscillospiraceae.
UACGUAGGGAGCGAGCGUUGUCCGGAAUUACUGGGUGUAAAGGGCGUGUAGGCGGGAAAGCAAGUCAGAUGUGAAAACCACGGGCUCAACCUGUGGCCUGCAUUUGAAACUGUUUCCCUUGAGUAUCGGAGAGGUCAUCGGAAUUCCUAGUGUAGCGGUGAAAUGCGUAGAUAUUAGGAAGAACACCAGUGGCGAAGGCGGAUGACUGGACGACAACUGACGGUGAGGCGCGAAAGCGUGGGGAGCAAACAGG